GUGGGGAAUUUUGGACAAUGGGGGCAACCCUGAUCCAGCCAUUCCGCGUGAGUGAAGAAGGCCUUCGGGUUGUAAAGCUCUUUCGGCAGGAACGAAACGGUGAGCUCUAACAUAGCUCGCUAAUGACGGUACCUGAAGAAGAAGCACCGGCUAACUACGUGCCAGCAGCCGCGGUAAUACGUAGGGUGCGAGCGUUAAUCGGAAUUACUGGGCGUAAAGCGUGCGCAGGCGGUUGUGUAUGACAGGUGUGAAAUCCCCGGGCUUAACCUGGGAACUGCGCUUGUGACUGCACGGCUAGAGUAUGGCAGAGGGGGGUGGAAUUCCACGUGUAGCAGUGAAAUGCGUAGAGAUGUGGAGGAACACCGAUGGCGAAGGCAGCCCCCUGGGCCAAUACUGACGCUCAUGCACGAAAGCGUGGGGAGCAAACAGGAUUAGAUACCCCAGUAGUCC
This 450-nucleotide ribosomal RNA is filed under the name uncultured bacterium. RNAcentral's name for it is "partial 16S ribosomal RNA". It matches the Rfam family "Bacterial small subunit ribosomal RNA", at positions 354 to 796 of the family's 1533-position model. The record is from RNAcentral.